RNAcentral lists this ribosomal RNA (426 nucleotides) under Paraphoma radicina. RNAcentral describes it as "eukaryotic LSU rRNA". The stretch from base 100 to 253 matches the Rfam family "5.8S ribosomal RNA". The record is from RNAcentral. Lineage: Eukaryota; Fungi; Ascomycota; Dothideomycetes; Pleosporales; Phaeosphaeriaceae.
UCUUUUGAGUACUUACGUUUCCUCGGUGGGCUCGCCCGCCGGUUGGACAAUUUAAACCAUUUGCAGUUGCAAUCAGCGUCUGAAAAACAUAAUAGUUACAACUUUCAACAACGGAUCUCUUGGUUCUGGCAUCGAUGAAGAACGCAGCGAAAUGCGAUAAGUAGUGUGAAUUGCAGAAUUCAGUGAAUCAUCGAAUCUUUGAACGCACAUUGCGCCCCUUGGUAUUCCAUGGGGCAUGCCUGUUCGAGCGUCAUUUGUACCUUCAAGCUCUGCUUGGUGUUGGGUGUUUGUCUCGCCUUGCGCGUAGACUCGCCUUAAAACAAUUGGCAGCCGGCGUAUUGAUUUCGGAGCGCAGUACAUCUCGCGCUUUGCACUCAUAACGACGACGUCCAAAAGUACUUUUUACACUCUUGACCUCGGAUCAGG